GAUGAACGCUGGCGGCGUGCCUAAUACAUGCAAGUCGAACGAGGUGCUUGAGUAGCAAUACAAGAGUAUCCUAGUGGCGAACGGGUGAGUAACGCGUGGAUGACCUGCCCCAAAGUGUGGGAUAACAGUCCGAAAGGAUUGCUAAUACCUCAUGUGGUUAUCGGUUUUAGAAAGCGAUAACUAAAGCAGCAAUGCGCUUUGGGAGGGAUCUGCGUCCCAUCAGCUAGUUGGUGAGGUAACGGCUCACCAAGGCGACGACGGGUAGGGGACCUGAGAGGGUGGCCCCCCACAAUGGAACUGAAACACGGUCCAUACACCUACGGGUGGCAGCAGUAGGGAAUAUUGCUCAAUGGGCGAAAGCCUGAAGCAGCAACGCCGCGUGUGCGAUGAAGG
Molecule: ribosomal RNA, 393 nt
Filed under: uncultured bacterium
Lineage: Bacteria
Description: bacterial SSU rRNA
Rfam family: Bacterial small subunit ribosomal RNA
Source: RNAcentral